Molecule: long non-coding RNA, 875 nt
Organism: Lemur catta (Ring-tailed lemur)
Lineage: Eukaryota; Metazoa; Chordata; Mammalia; Primates; Lemuridae
Exons: 3
Source: RefSeq, a predicted model, not a curated record
GAGGACAGUAGCCUCUUGCUUUUUAUUAUUUUAAUUAUCUAAGGACCAAAUUAGAGAAAAUUUAGCAUUGCGUAGCUAUGAGAUAAACUGUGAACCUAAAUAUUUCCAAGAAAAGAGUGGAGCAGAACUGAAAGGAUCAGGAAUCCAGGAUGACACCAGAAUCAUAAGGCAGGAUUCAAAUCCUCUCCUAGGCUAAAUUCCAGGCAACAUACAACUUACUCAAGUUCCAUCAAGUCCCAGAUCCAGGUCUCAGGGAAAUACUUCCGGACCAUCUCCUUCACUUGAAAGUCAGGACGUCCUUCACUUCUCACUUGAAAAGUCGGAGAGUUUUGUCUCCCCAUCAUUGGAAGGAAGAACCAAAAUUAUGGGUGAAUAAUCAUGGUGGAAGUGGGGUGCUAAGCGGGGAGUGCUGGAGCCUGUUGGAGAGCUCACAGGAAGAAGCUAUGACACAGAAAACGAAAGAAGCAAGAAGCUGGCAGAGAUUGAACAGGGGACUUAAUAUUACACGGAAAGGAGCGUGAAGAAAAUACUGACCCACCAGAAAGAGACCUCCGCUGUUAGGACGAGUGAGGUGUGCUGGAAGCUGUAGCACAACACGCACAUCCAAGAUUUAAUCAACAGCUAACUGCCCCUGAUUAACAGUACAGGCAUUGAAGCCUAAAGUCGGAGUCUCUUCUCUGUUGAUACAAAACACAUAGAAGACCCAAACAGAACAGACACUAUGCUUUUGGGGACCCUGUCCAGGUUUAAUAGCAUUCUUUAGCAAGAUGGAAUUGAAGAUUUGUAUCAGAAUCCACUGUGUAUUUUUCUUAUUUCAUUGUAUAUUUUAAAAAAGAUAAUUUAUUAAUAAAUAAAGUUCUCAUGGCAGAAAUGUU